Molecule: transfer RNA, 65 nt
Filed under: Allogalathea elegans
Lineage: Eukaryota; Metazoa; Arthropoda; Malacostraca; Decapoda; Galatheidae
Description: tRNA-Tyr
Source: RNAcentral
AAUAAGGUGGCUGAACUAUAGGCGGUAGAUUGUAAAUUUAUUUAUGGAUAUUUUAUCCUCUUAUU